GCCCGGUUAGCUCAGUUGGUUAGAGUACUUCCUUGACAUGGAAGGGGUCGGAAGUUCAAGUCUUCUGCCGGGCA
Molecule: transfer RNA, 74 nt
Filed under: Candidatus Endomicrobiellum trichonymphae
Lineage: Bacteria; Pseudomonadati; Elusimicrobiota; Endomicrobiia; Endomicrobiales; Endomicrobiaceae
Also listed under: 1 other name
Description: tRNA-Val (GAC) (tRNA-Val-GAC-1-1)
Rfam family: tRNA
About the family: Transfer RNA (tRNA) molecules are approximately 80 nucleotides in length.
Source: RNAcentral